Molecule: non-coding RNA, 594 nt
Organism: Pungitius pungitius (ninespine stickleback)
Lineage: Eukaryota; Metazoa; Chordata; Actinopteri; Perciformes; Gasterosteidae
Source: the annotation of a RefSeq genome assembly
UUUGUCAUUCACAAAUCAUUUUUGUUUUUCUCCACUGAUACCAUUUUGUCACCGUAAGAUAUUCAAGAUGAUCGUUACUCUUUUUUUUACUCUCUCAUUCUUCCCAGACAUUGCGAUAACAUCACAACAUUUAAUCCAACAAUCACCAGUAAAUCUUCUGAUUAAACCUGCACAAGGAAAAGCACAUUUUGGCUGUUACCAUGGCGACAACAACUACCCCUACAUGCUUUGGUACCGGUCGGCAGCGGGAGGCCGCAGGGACAUGGAGCUGAUCGGACUGCUCCACUAUGAAAACCCAAACCUUGAGAAGAACUUUGAGGCCCGUUGCAACAUGACGGGCCACUCGAAGGGCCGAGCUGAGCUCGUCAUCUCCACCGUGGAGCCAGCAGACAGCGCAGUGUACUUCUGUGCAGCGAGUCGACACAGUGGUACAAAGCCUUCCGGCUCUUUCACAAAAAGCCUGUGACCCGCAGCGCCAAACGUGCAGCUGCAUCAACACUACGCCACUGAACGGCACAGUUCAGCUCAUCUCAGAGGACCAAUCAUAAAAGCAUCGUGUGGAGACAAUUAAUAACCUACGAAUCGAGCUGACGU